UUUUUUUUUUUUUUUUUGAGACAGUGUCUCGCUCUGUCACCCAGGCUGGAGUCCUAGUCUCCUUUCCCCAAUAUGUUAGGCCGAACACAAACUCCCCACAAGCAGAUGUGGGUCAACUUUGCCCUCUGAGGUUGGGUUCUGCUAGGGUUUGGGCCUGCUGAGCCAGACACAGAGGAAGAAAAGCUGAGGCAGGCCUGGGGUGCAGCAGCUCAGUGUCCCUUGCAUCAGCCCUGGAGAGAGACAAGGGGGCUGCUUGAAGGUGCCGUCUUCCUCCUGCCUGGAGAGGCCAUAUUUUUCAGCAGUAGGACAUACAUCUCUAGCAACCCUCGGGAGAGUUUACAGAAGCCGCGUUUAAUGCUCUGAAAUCACAGAGUGAGGAAAUUAUUCCCUGCCCACGGAGUUUUCAGUCCUUCUGCAAAGUCAAGAAGAAAAUAGCUACUAGAGCCAGGAGGCCAUCUCCUCUCCCCUCCCUCGUCACCCCUUUCACAGAGAGGACGAGCUCUGGGUCUUCACGAUCUUUUCACUUUUUGCUAAAGUGUAAUAGAAAUUGGGUUUUGCCACCAUUUGUUUUUAUGUUUCUCUUUACCUUUCACCUAUGGCAAGUGAUACUGAUUUUCCACUUAUAACAGUGAUGUAAAGUUUCCUUUCAAAACUGAGCUUGCAUUGAUAACAACAAGUGAGUCAAGUAAAUAUCAACACAGUUUCAAAAACAUAAAGUGGAUGACAGUACUGGGAAGGAGCAGGUCGGGCGAGAGCUGCCAGGGCGGGACACACUGAACGAAGGAGCUUGGAGGCUCCAGGACUACUUUGCUUGACCUCCCUGAGCUCUGCCCGGGUCUCUGGGUUCCCGCCUCUCCUGUGGGCACCAUUCAAAGCCAGUUCUCCUGGCUGGCUGCUGGGCCAGCUGCCGCGGCUCGGACGCCAAGGGCACCAAUGCCUAGCUCAGCCCCUGGCCCUCAUUCCCACUGGGAAGCUGAGAAGGAGCUGGUCUGAAGCCCUGGGUCAGGGAAGAUCUUUUGGACCCGACUUUACUCCGGAGCCUGUGGCUGGGCUUCAUGGGGAAGAGGAAAGGGGGCCGCUUUCGGACAGUCUGUUUCAGCUCAGGGGCAGAAGGCAGCCAAAAUUCCGGAGCUGCUGCUCUGGAAAGUCCUGGUAGAGUUAGCAGGGCAAAGCUACACGCACAGAGCCGAAGGCACACAAACUCCAGCUCCCAGAGCCGAAUGGCUUUGCCUGAACCAGUAUGAGGCCACGGGCUUGGAACACAGGAGAUCAAGGCAAGGGAGAGGAGAUCAAGGCAGAGAGGAGGGCACCCCUUGCCCAGAGUCUCCCAACAUAUACCCAGUCCUCCAAGCCAGCUCGAUGCCCCCUCCUGACUGGGUCUUCCUGGGUCUCCCCCAUCACAAAAUGAAAGCACCUGGCUCCCCGGCUGCAGGGUGGACCCAGAUUCCCCUGGCCCAGAAUUCUGUUUCCACGCCGGUCUCCCAAACCCCAAAAUGUGAGAGCUCAAUGGGGUCAGGACCUCUUGCAUCUCCAGGCCCCUGCCCAGCUCCGGCCAGCUUGGACCCUGCAUUCAACAGGGGCCAGCAAGUAUCUGGGGAGCACAGUCCAGUGCCCCAAACCUUCUGGUCAUCUGAUUCCCUGGCCCGGGUGGCCAGGUGCCUUGUCACUUGGGGACAGCUUGAGACGUGGGGGUGGCCUUCAUGCUCACUUAUGCCCUAGACGACCCCAACUGGUUGUGCCGAAGCCAUCAGCGCCUGGCUGUCCGGAACUCUCCCUGGCUUCCCUGAGUCCUGUUUUGGGGGUGCUGUCCUGUGAUUGGCCUAAGCCUGCUGGACCCCAAGCCUCAGCUUCAGCAUGGAAAGUACCACCGUCAAUGGUCCUGCCUCUCUGGAAGGUGAAUGGUUCCUUCUUAAGAGUUGGCAAGACAUAGGAAAUGGGGGAGUUCCUGAGCUUAAGGGUGGGAGGGGCACCUCCCUCCUCACACCCUGGGGACCUGUUGGUAAGGCACAAAGUAUGCUUCCCACAUUCUGUCACUCCAGGAGGCUUCUCAUGAUGGGCGCCUUGCCCAGGCACAGCCCCAUCCCCUUGAGGGGCUCCUGUGUCCUAUCCCAGCCCCAGAUGCUGGAGCUCCCUGGUACCUGAGUAUAGUCUUGGCUAAAAGAUCCCAGAAAGGUGACCACAGGCAAACAACCAGAAAGGGGACUGAGAGGGCUGGAUCUGGCUCCUCCAGCACUAGUGGCAGGAGAUGAGGGAAGGGGGCCUACCUGAGAGGGCUGCUGUCAGCAAUCCAGCGAUCCCGAAGAAGAGCCACAUGUCUGGAGCUGUCUCUGGCUGCUACACGCGGCUGCCUGUGGGAAGCACCAUUUUGGGGCCGGGAGGUGGACACGGCCGUUGUGCGCCCCUGGCGCAGGUCUGCUCUGCCCUUCGCUGUUCCUGUUCCUGUGUCUC
This is a long non-coding RNA of Macaca fascicularis (crab-eating macaque), 2448 nucleotides long. The record is from Ensembl. NCBI's taxonomy places the organism in Eukaryota, Metazoa, Chordata, Mammalia, Primates, Cercopithecidae.